RNAcentral lists this ribosomal RNA (427 nucleotides) under uncultured bacterium. Its description in RNAcentral is "partial 16S ribosomal RNA". It matches the Rfam family "Bacterial small subunit ribosomal RNA", at positions 355 to 774 of the family's 1533-position model. The record is from RNAcentral.
UGGGGAAUAUUGCACAAUGGGCGCAAGCCUGAUGCAGCCAUGCCGCGUGUAUGAAGAAGGCCUUCGGGUUGUAAAGUACUUUCAGCGGGGAGGAAGGUGUUGUGGUUAAUAACCGCAGCAAUUGACGUUACCCGCAGAAGAAGCACCGGCUAACUCCGUGCCAGCAGCCGCGGUAAUACGGAGGGUGCAAGCGUUAAUCGGAAUUACUGGGCGUAAAGCGCACGCAGGCGGUCUGUCAAGUCGGAUGUGAAAUCCCCGGGCUCAACCUGGGAACUGCAUUCGAAACUGGCAGGCUAGAGUCUUGUAGAGGGGGGUAGAAUUCCAGGUGUAGCGGUGAAAUGCGUAGAGAUCUGGAGGAAUACCGGUGGCGAAGGUGGCCCCCUGGACAAAGACUGACGCUCAGGUGCGAAAGCGUGGGGAGCAAACA